GACGAACGCUGGCGGCGUGCUUAACACAUGCAAGUCGAACGGAAAGGCCUGCUUUCCCUUGUGGAUUGCGGGUACUCGAGUGGCGAACGGGUGAGUAACACGUGAGUGAUCUGCCCCCAACUUGGGUAUAAGCCUGGGAAACUGGGUCUAAUUCCCGAUAGGACUGCAGGGUGGUGCCUGUGGUGGAAAACGAUGUUCUAGUGGUUGGGGAUGAGCUCGCGGCCUAUCAGCUUGUUGGUGGGGUAAUGGCCUACCAAGGCGGCGACGGGUAGCCGGCCUGAGAGGGUGGACGGCCACAUUGGGACUGAGAUACGGCCCAGACUCCUACGGGAGGCAGCAGUGGGGAAUAGUGCACAAUGGGCGGAAGCCUGAUGCAGCGACGCCGCGUGGGGGAUGACGGCCUUCGGGUUGUAAACUCCUUUCGACCGCGAGGAAGCCACCUGGUUGGAAGGGUGGUGACGGUAGUGGUAGAAGAAGCACCGGCUAACUACGUG
This 494-nucleotide ribosomal RNA is filed under the name uncultured bacterium. RNAcentral's name for it is "partial 16S ribosomal RNA". It matches the Rfam family "Bacterial small subunit ribosomal RNA", at positions 28 to 507 of the family's 1533-position model. The record is from RNAcentral.